This 166-nucleotide unclassified non-coding RNA is filed under the name soil metagenome. Its description in RNAcentral is "partial contains 5.8S ribosomal RNA, internal transcribed spacer 2, and large subunit ribosomal RNA". The record is from RNAcentral.
AACGCACGAGACCUGCGGACCUGCGGAAGGAUCAUUAGUGAACGCCCUCACGGGCUUAUAACUAUUCCAAACCUCUGUGAACCGUGCCCUUCGGGGCUAUUUUACAAACAUGGUGUAAUGAACGCCAUAUAUCAUAACAAAACAAAACUUUUAACAAUGGAUCUCU